GUCUUUUUGAAAUUAAUUUAAAGUCUAAUCUGCCCACUGAAAAUUUUAAAGGGCUGCAGUAUAUUGACUGUACAAAGGUAGCAUAAUAAUUAGUCUUUUAAUUGAAGACUUGUAUGAAUGAUUUGAUGAAAUAUAUACUGUUUCUUUAUUAAUGUUAAAAUUUAAUUUUUUAGUAAAAAAGCUAAAAUUUUUUUAAAAGACGAGAAGACCCUAUAGAGUUUAAUUUUUUAUAUUUUAUAAAUGUUUUAUAAAGUUUAUAAUUCUAUAAGAUAUAAAAAAUUUUGUUGGGGUGAUAGAAAAAUUUAAUUAACUUUUUUUAAAAAAAUUGACAUUAAUUUAUGAAUUUAUGAUCCAUAAUUUAUGAUUAUAAGAUUAAAUUACCUUAGGGAUAACAGCGUAAUUUUUUUUUUUAGUUCAAAUAAAAAUUAAAGUUUGCGACCUCGAUGUUGGAUUAAGAUAAAAUUUAAAUGCAAAAGUUUAAAAUUUUGAUCUGUUCGAUCAUUAAAAUCUU
Molecule: ribosomal RNA, 511 nt
Filed under: Pieris brassicae (large cabbage white)
Lineage: Eukaryota; Metazoa; Arthropoda; Insecta; Lepidoptera; Pieridae
Description: partial 16S ribosomal RNA
Source: RNAcentral